RNAcentral lists this ribosomal RNA (497 nucleotides) under uncultured bacterium. RNAcentral's name for it is "partial 16S ribosomal RNA". It matches the Rfam family "Bacterial small subunit ribosomal RNA", at positions 28 to 507 of the family's 1533-position model. The record is from RNAcentral.
GACGAACGCUGGCGGCGUGCCUAAUACAUGCAAGUAGAACGCUGAAGAGAGGAGCUUACUCUUCUUGGAUGAGUUGCGAACGGGUGAGUAACGCGUAGGUAACCUGCCUUGUAGCGGGGGAUAACUAUUGGAAACGAUAGCUAAUACCGCAUAACAAUGGAUGACACAUGUCAUUUAUUUGAAAGGGGCAAUUGCUCCACUACAAGAUGGACCUGCGUUGUAUUAGCUAGUAGGUGAGGUAAUGGCUCACCUAGGCGACGAUACAUAGCCGACCUGAGAGGGGGAACGGCCACACUGGGACUUGGAAACGGCCCAGACUCCUACGGGAGGCAGCAGUAGGGAAUCUUCGGCAAUGGGGGCAACCCUGACCGAGCAACGCCGCGUGAGUGAAGAAGGUUUUCGGAUCGUAAAGCUCUGUUGUAAGUCAAGAACGGGUGUGAGAGUGGAAAGUUCACACUGUGACGGUAGCUUACCAGAAAGGGACGGCUAACUACGUG